This 1114-nucleotide ribosomal RNA is filed under the name Enterococcus faecalis. RNAcentral describes it as "bacterial SSU rRNA". It matches the Rfam family "Bacterial small subunit ribosomal RNA", at positions 73 to 1175 of the family's 1533-position model. The record is from RNAcentral. Lineage: Bacteria; Bacillati; Bacillota; Bacilli; Lactobacillales; Enterococcaceae.
UUGCUCCACCGUGGAAAGAGGAGUGGCGAACGGGUGAGUAACACGUGGGUAACCUGCCCAUCAGAAGGGGAUAACACUUGGAAACAGGUGCUAAUACCGUAUAACAAUCGAAGCCGCAUGGUUUAAAUUUGAAAGGCGCUUUCGGGUGUCGCUGAUGGAUGGACCCGCGGUGCAUUAGCUAGUUGGUGAGGUAACGGCUCACCAAGGCCACGAUGCAUAGCCGACCUGAGAGGGUGAUCGGCCACAUUGGGACUGAGACACGGCCCAAACUCCUACGGGAGGCAGCAGUAGGGAAUCUUCGGCAAUGGACGAAAGUCUGACCGAGCAACGCCGCGUGAGUGAAGAAGGUUUUCGGAUCGUAAAACUCUGUUGUUAGAGAAGAACAAGGAUGAUAGUAACUGUUCAUCCCUUGACGGUAUCUAACCAGAAAGCCACGGCUAACUACGUGCCAGCAGCCGCGGUAAUACGUAGGUGGCAAGCGUUGUCCGGAUUUAUUGGGCGUAAAGCGAGCGCAGGCGGUUUCUUAAGUCUGAUGUGAAAGCCCCCGGCUCAACCGGGGAGGGUCAUUGGAAACUGGGAGACUUGAGUGCAGAAGAGGAGAGUGGAAUUCCAUGUGUAGCGGUGAAAUGCGUAGAUAUAUGGAGGAACACCAGUGGCGAAGGCGGCUCUCUGGUCUGUAACUGACGCUGAGGCUCGAAAGCGUGGGGAGCAAACAGGAUUAGAUACCUGGUAGUCCACGCCGUAAACGAUGAGUGCUAAGUGUUGGAGGGUUUCCGCCCUUCAGUGCUGCAGCUAACGCAUUAAGCACUCCGCCUGGGGAGUACGACCGCAAGGUUGAAACUCAAAGGAAUGGACGGGGGCCCGCACAAGCGGUGGAGCAUGUGGUUUAAUUGGAAGCAACGCGAAGACCCUUACCAGGUCUUGACAUCCUUUGACCACUCUAGAGAUAGAGCUUCCCCUUCGGGGGCAAAGUGACAGGUGGUGCAUGGUGGUCGUCAGUUCGUUUCGUGAGAUGUUGGGUUAAUUCCCGCAACGAGCGCAACCCUUAUUGUUAGUUGCCAUCAUUUAGUUGGGCAUUCUAGCAAGACUGCCGGGGACAAACCGGAGGAAGGUG